Molecule: ribosomal RNA, 1372 nt
Filed under: uncultured bacterium
Lineage: Bacteria
Description: bacterial SSU rRNA
Rfam family: Bacterial small subunit ribosomal RNA
Source: RNAcentral
GAUAAACGCUGGCGGCGUGCCUAAUACAUGCAAGUCGAGCGAACGGACGAGAAGCUUGCUUCUCUGAUGUUAGCGGCGGACGGGUGAGUAACACGUGGAUAACCUACCUAUAAGACUGGGAUAACUUCGGGAAACCGGAGCUAAUACCGGAUAAUAUUUUGAACCGCAUGGUUCAAAAGUGAAAGACGGUCUUGCUGUCACUUAUAGAUGGAUCCGCGCUGCAUUAGCUAGUUGGUAAGGUAACGGCUUACCAAGGCAACGAUGCAUAGCCGACCUGAGAGGGUGAUCGGCCACACUGGAACUGAGACACGGUCCAGACUCCUACGGGAGGCAGCAGUAGGGAAUCUUCCGCAAUGGGCGAGAGCCUGACGGAGCAACGCCGCGUGAGUGAUGAAGGUCUUCGGAUCGUAAAACUCUGUUAUUAGGGAAGAACAUAUGUGUAAGUAACUGUGCACAUCUUGACGGUACCUAAUCAGAAAGCCACGGCUAACUACGUGCCAGCAGCCGCGGUAAUACGUAGGUGGCAAGCGUUAUCCGGAAUUAUUGGGCGUAAAGCGCGCGUAGGCGGUUUUUUAAGUCUGAUGUGAAAGCCCACGGCUCAACCGUGGAGGGUCAUUGGAAACUGGAAAACUUGAGUGCAGAAGAGGAAAGUGGAAUUCCAUGUGUAGCGGUGAAAUGCGCAGAGAUAUGGAGGAACACCAGUGGCGAAGGCGACUUUCUGGUCUGUAACUGACGCUGAUGUGCGAAAGCGUGGGGAUCAAACAGGAUUAGAUACCCUGGUAGUCCACGCCGUAAACGAUGAGUGCUAAGUGUUAGGGGGUUUCCGCCCCUUAGUGCUGCAGCUAACGCAUUAAGCACUCCGCCUGGGGAGUACGACCGCAAGGUUGAAACUCAAAGGAAUUGACGGGGACCCGCACAAGCGGUGGAGCAUGUGGUUUAAUUCGAAGCAACGCGAAGAACCUUACCAAAUCUUGACAUCCUUUGACAACUCUAGAGAUAGAGCCUUCCCCUUCGGGGGACAAAGUGACAGGUGGUGCAUGGUUGUCGUCAGCUCGUGUCGUGGGAUGUUGGGUUAAGUCCCGCAACGAGCGCAACCCUUAAGCUUAGUUGCCAUCAUUAAGUUGGGCACUCUAAGUUGACUGCCGGUGACAAACCGGAGGAAGGUGGGGAUGACGUCAAAUCAUCAUGCCCCUUAUGAUUUGGGCUACACACGUGCUACAAUGGACAAUACAAAGGGCAGCGAAACCGCGAGGUCAAGCAAAUCCCAUAAAGUUGUUCUCAGUUCGGAUUGUAGUCUGCAACUCGACUACAUGAAGCUGGAAUCGCUAGUAAUCGUAGAUCAGCAUGCUACGGUGAAUACGUUCCCGGGUCU